GUAGCCACGCCGACGCGGUCCCCGCUCGCCGUCUCGAACGCCACCGCGAAGGACGGGUAGUUGAGUCCUGACACCGCGUAGGUCCUUUUACGGUCACAGGUGUAGUUGGUCCUUUUGGCGACGGCGGCGAUCUGGAGGGAGGUGUAGUUAAGGGCGCAGAGGAAGUCGAUGUAGUCGUCGGCAGUGAGGUCGUAGACGAGGCCCGGGUCCAUGCCGCGCCGGGGGUCGACAUGGCCGGCGCCGUAGUCGAAGGGGGUUGCGGCCUUGCCGGUGGCGACGUCGAGGACGCCGCCGUUGCCGCCGGGGUAAUCGGCGUAGGCGGUGGUCAUGAGGGCGGAGCGGAUGGCGGCGGGGCUCCAGUCCGGGUGGGCACCUUUGAGGAGGGCGGCAAGGCCGCUGACGUGGGGACACGACAUGGAGGUCCCGGAGAUGAUGCUGAAUUCCACCCGCCGCGAGUCCACCGACAGCCCCGUGGGCCCCACCGCGCCGGUCCACCCGGCGAGGAUAUUGACCCCGGGGG
This 520-nucleotide long non-coding RNA is filed under the name Phoenix dactylifera (date palm). RNAcentral describes it as "long non-coding RNA (PDAC_LNC000527)". Lineage: Eukaryota; Viridiplantae; Streptophyta; Magnoliopsida; Arecales; Arecaceae. The record is from RNAcentral.